GAUGAACGCUGGCGGCGUGCCUAAUACAUGCGAGUCGAGCGAACAGACGAGGAGCUUGCUCCUCUGACGUUAGCGGCGGACGGGUGAGUAACACGUGGAUAACCUACCUAUAAGACUGGGAUAACUUCGGGAAACCGGAGCUAAUACCGGAUAAUAUAUUGAACCGCAUGGUUCAAUAGUGAAAGACGGAUUUGCUGUCACUUAUAGAUGGAUCCGCGCCGCAUUAGCUAGUUGGUAAGGUAACGGCUUACCAAGGCAACGAUGCGUAGCCGACCUGAGAGGGUGAUCGGCCACACUGGAACUGAGACACGGUCCAGACUCCUACGGGAGGCAGCAGUAGGGAAUCUUCCGCAAAGGGCGAAAGCUUGACGGAGCAACGCCGCGUGAGUGAUGAAGGUCUUCGGAUCGUAAAACUCUGUUAUUAGGGAAGAACAAAUGUGUAAGUAACUAUGCACGUCUUGACGGUACCUAAUCAGAAAGCCACGGCUAACUACGCG
This 497-nucleotide ribosomal RNA is filed under the name uncultured bacterium. Its description in RNAcentral is "partial 16S ribosomal RNA". It matches the Rfam family "Bacterial small subunit ribosomal RNA", at positions 28 to 507 of the family's 1533-position model. The record is from RNAcentral.